UCCUAACGCUGAGGGAUGAGGCGCAC
Molecule: non-coding RNA, 26 nt
Filed under: Rattus norvegicus (Norway rat)
Lineage: Eukaryota; Metazoa; Chordata; Mammalia; Rodentia; Muridae
Source: RNAcentral